GCAAAGAUUGAUCCAACAGUAUAUUUCUGUCUUGCUAAUUAGUAAAGUUUACAAAAAAGUGACUGUUGUCAUCGGCAGAGAAGGGAAGUCAAACUUGUGAAGUACUACAAAGGAUCUGCAGAAGUGAAAUCAUUGGCAGGUUCGUCUGGAAAGCAUUGAUUUUGAUGAAAUGGCAUUUUCUAAGAAAAAGAUCAUGCUGUCAGAAUAUUUUCAACCAGCUCUAGUGAGGAUGUCCGUUUCCAGAAUUGUCAAGCGUUAUUAAAAGAAAGGAAGUUCACCUGUUCAUGCUUGGAAAUGGGAGGACUAACUCAAAGGAUGAAAAGAGCCUACUAUAAGACGUAACGACGAGUUUAAUGCGCGCUUGUCCUGGACAUCCGGAGUUUGUCUGCGUGGAGCCUAGAAACCUUCAUGUGAUUGUUCGUGUUUUGUCUGCGUGGAGCCUUGCAACCUCCACGUGUGUUCGUGUUUUUUGUUGUAACCGCAACUCAAGCAAGUUCUCAGCCUACACCGCGACCAUCUCGGUGUAAGUAAAAUAAUCUUAAAAUCAA
Long non-coding RNA from Alligator mississippiensis (American alligator), 548 nucleotides. RefSeq lists it as uncharacterized. Lineage: Eukaryota; Metazoa; Chordata; Crocodylia; Alligatoridae. The transcript is spliced from 4 exons. The record is from RefSeq and is a predicted model, not a curated record.